This 512-nucleotide ribosomal RNA is filed under the name uncultured bacterium. RNAcentral's name for it is "bacterial SSU rRNA". It matches the Rfam family "Bacterial small subunit ribosomal RNA", at positions 1 to 507 of the family's 1533-position model. The record is from RNAcentral.
CGCGACGAGUUUGACUCCGUGGCGUACAGGACGAACGCUGGCGGCGCGCCUAACACAUGCAAGUCGAACGGAGCUACGUUUUCUGAAGUUUUCGGAUGGACGAAGAUUUAGCUUAGUGGCGAACGGGUGAGUAACGCGUGGGUAACCUGCCUUUUAGAGGGGGACAACAGUUGGAAACGACUGCUAAUACCGCAUAAGCGCACAGUACCGCAUGGUACCGUGUGAAAAACUCCGGUGGUAUGAGAUGGACCCGCGUCUGAUUAGCUAGUUGGUAAGGUAACGGCUUACCAAGGCGACGAUCGGUAGCCGGACUGAGAGGUUGAACGGCCACAUUGGGACUGAGACACGGCCCAGACUCCUACGGGAGGCAGCAGUGGGGGAUAUUGCACAAUGGAGGAAACUCUGAUGCAGCAACGCCGCGUGAGGGAAGAAGGUUUUCGGAUUGUAAACCUCUGUUUUUAGUGAAGAAACAAAUGACGGUAGCUAAAGAGGAAGCCACGGCUAACUACGUG